Molecule: ribosomal RNA, 237 nt
Filed under: uncultured Actinomycetales bacterium
Lineage: Bacteria; Bacillati; Actinomycetota; Actinomycetes; Actinomycetales
Description: partial 16S ribosomal RNA
Rfam family: Bacterial small subunit ribosomal RNA
Source: RNAcentral
GGCGAACGGGUGAGUAACACGUGAGUAACCUGCCCUUGACUUUGGGAUAACUUCAGGAAACUGGGGCUAAUACCGGAUAGGAGCUCCUGCUGCAUGGUGGGGGUUGGAAAGUUUCGGCGGUUGGGGAUGGACUCGCGGCUUAUCAGCUUGUUGGGUGGGGUAGUGGCUUACCAAGGCUUUGACGGGUAGCCGGCCUGAGAGGGUGACCGGCCACAUUGGGACUGAGAUACGGCCCAG